AGGCCUAACACAUGCAAGUCGAGCGCCCAGCAAUGGGAGCGGCGGACGGGUGAAUAACACGUGGGAAUAUGCCUUUCGGUACGGAAUAACGCAGGGAAACUUGCGCUAAUACCGUAUACGCCCCUCGGGGGAAAGAUUUAUCGCCGAAAGAUUAGCCCGCGCAGGAUUAGCUAGUUGGUGAGGUAACGGCCCACCAAGGCUACGAUCCUUAGCUGGUUUGAGAGAACGAUCAGCCACACUGGGACUGAGACACGGCCCAG
Molecule: ribosomal RNA, 260 nt
Filed under: uncultured bacterium
Lineage: Bacteria
Description: partial 16S ribosomal RNA
Rfam family: Bacterial small subunit ribosomal RNA
Source: RNAcentral